RNAcentral lists this ribosomal RNA (421 nucleotides) under Fusobacteriota bacterium. Its description in RNAcentral is "Fusobacteria bacterium partial 16S ribosomal RNA". It matches the Rfam family "Bacterial small subunit ribosomal RNA", at positions 355 to 776 of the family's 1533-position model. The record is from RNAcentral. Lineage: Bacteria; Fusobacteriati; Fusobacteriota.
UGGGGAAUAUUGCACAAUGGACGGAAGUUUGAUGCAGCGACGCCGCGUGGAGGGUGUAGGCCUUCGGGUUUUGAACUCCUUUUUCUCGCGAAAAAGGCACAGUUUUGGCCGUGUUGAUGGUAGUGGGGGAAGAAGCGCCGGCUAACUACGUGCCAGCAGCCGCGGUAAUACGUAGGGCGCGAGCGUUGUCCGGAUUUAUUGGGCGUAAAGAGCUCGUAGGUGGUUCGUCGCGUCUGUCGUGAAAGCCAGCAGCUUAACUGUUGGUCUGCGGUGGGGACGGGCGGGCUUGAGUGCGGUAGGGGUGACGGGAAUUCCGGGUGUGGCGGUGGGAUGCGCAGAUAUCAGGAGGAGCACCGAUGGCGAAAGCAGGUCACUGGGCCGUUACUGACACUGAGAAGCGAAAGCGUGGGGAGCGAACAGG